CGGAGGGUGCAAGCGUUAUCCGGAUUUAUUGGGUUUAAAGGGUCCGUAGGCGGACUAUUAAGUCAGUGGUGAAAGCCCUCUGCUCAACAGAGGAACUGCCAUUGAUACUGAUAGUCUUGAGUACAAGUGAGGUUGGCGGAAUGUGUGGUGUAGCGGUGAAAUGCUUAGAUAUCACACAGAACACCGAUUGCGAAGGCAGCUGGCCAACUUGUAACUGACGCUGAGGGACGAAAGUGUGGGGAUCAAACAGGAUUAGAUACCCUGGUAGUCCACACCGUAAACGAUGAUCACUAGAUUUUGGCCGUAAGGUCAGAGUCCAAGCGAAAGUGUUUAGUGAUCCACCUGGGGAGUACGACCGCAAGGUUG
This 366-nucleotide ribosomal RNA is filed under the name uncultured organism. RNAcentral describes it as "bacterial SSU rRNA". It matches the Rfam family "Bacterial small subunit ribosomal RNA", at positions 526 to 896 of the family's 1533-position model. The record is from RNAcentral.